GCCUCGGUGGUGUAGUGGUUAGAGCACGCGUCCCCGUGUAGAACCAAACGCGGGUUCGAUUCCCACCUGAGGCC
This is a non-coding RNA of Parelaphostrongylus tenuis, 74 nucleotides long. The record is from the annotation of a GenBank genome assembly. NCBI's taxonomy places the organism in Eukaryota, Metazoa, Nematoda, Chromadorea, Rhabditida, Metastrongylidae.